Tachysurus vachellii is the source of this 642-nucleotide long non-coding RNA. RefSeq lists it as uncharacterized. The transcript is spliced from 3 exons. The record is from RefSeq and is a predicted model, not a curated record. NCBI's taxonomy places the organism in Eukaryota, Metazoa, Chordata, Actinopteri, Siluriformes, Bagridae.
GGAUCCCUACAAUGGACUAAAAAACGAGGUAGGAGAGGGAGGAGGACGGGGAGGAGGAGGAGGGAGAGUCCAAAAAAAAAACCCCACAAUCACCACUACACUCCAUCCUCCCCCUCCUGUGGACUCGUCUUUUUAGACUGUGGAUCCUAGCAGAUGAUAUACUUCAGGAUACUCUACCAUCCGAAAACGGAAAAGUCUUCCAGGGACAUGUCUCGUGUAGUACAAGGCGGUGUUUUACAUGGCAAAUCCGUAACCUCCUGUUGACUUGGAUGCUCGGAUGAUCUGGUUGUGCCUCUGCACAUAAACAAAUGAGAUUUCUGCGGGAUGAAGGAACGACGCUGAGCCGCAUGAAUAAUAGAACGAGUGCGGGAGAAAGACAGGCCAAGAGGCGCAGUGAACUGAAUGAGUAGAUGGGGGAAGGAGGAAGAGAGCACGGCUCCGACCGGUAGUGAUAGAGCACCAGGUGGGGGCCCUUUCAGCUCAAACUGACCUUGAAGGCAGCUGAUUAAAUUCCCACUUCCUCUCCGUGGGUUGCUUCUGCACAGCAAGGGCAGCAGGAGUUUAUCCUGCUUGCACCUCGUUCUACUCGGACAUACUCUUGGCAGUCAAUGUGCUUUUUGUUCCACCUCCACUCACACAGGC